CAGCAGCAGAGAGGGGGAGAGAGAGAGAGAAAGGGAGAGAGCGAGAGAAAGAAAAGAGAUGUAGGAGAGAGACAAAGGCAACUUCUCGACGAGCCGUUUCCUGCAAGCCAUGUGCACAGAGUGUCGCACAGCGGAAUGUGUCUGCUACUCCCGACUCAGCGCAUGCAUGGACAGCGGCGCUGGUGCGCAAGGCUAAAAGGAAGAACGUGGCUCUGCAGUUGACUCAGACAAAAGGGCCAGUUUUGCAUUCCUUCAGGAGGAGACAGUGCGUGCGGAAGAGAAGAGAAGAAAAGAGAAGACCUUGACGCGUCUCGCCUCAUCUUCUUCCCAUCUGAUUGAGUUCUCCUCUGAAAGGUAAAGACGGUCAUCAUUUCUCUUUCUGUGUAGCAACAGUGUGAUGGUGUGAUUGCUAUAUAUUGUGUCCUCUACUCUCUGGGGAUGCGCCUACAGGUGAUAGUGGAGAAAAGGGAGGAAAAAGAGAUAGGAAGUGGGGAGCGAAA
Engraulis encrasicolus (European anchovy) is the source of this 500-nucleotide long non-coding RNA. RefSeq lists it as uncharacterized. The transcript has 3 exons. NCBI's taxonomy places the organism in Eukaryota, Metazoa, Chordata, Actinopteri, Clupeiformes, Engraulidae. The record is from RefSeq and is a predicted model, not a curated record.